This 253-nucleotide unclassified non-coding RNA is filed under the name uncultured Legionellaceae bacterium. RNAcentral's name for it is "contains 16S-23S intergenic spacer region". It matches the Rfam family "Bacterial small subunit ribosomal RNA", at positions 524 to 776 of the family's 1533-position model. The record is from RNAcentral. Lineage: Bacteria; Pseudomonadati; Pseudomonadota; Gammaproteobacteria; Legionellales; Legionellaceae.
UACAGAGGGUGCAAGCGUUACUCGGAAUGACUGGGCGUAAAGGGUGCGUAGGCGACUUGAUAAGUUAAGUGUGAAAUCCCUGGGCUUAACCUGGGAGAGUCAUUUAAUACUGUUGAGCUAGAGUACAGGAGAGGGUAGUGGAAUUUCCGGUGUAGCGGUGAAAUGCGUAGAGAUCGGAAGGAACACCAGUGGCGAAGGCGGCUACCUGGCCUGAUACUGACGCUGAGGCACGAAAGCAUGGGGAGCAAACAGG